This 433-nucleotide ribosomal RNA is filed under the name uncultured bacterium. Its description in RNAcentral is "partial 16S ribosomal RNA". It matches the Rfam family "Bacterial small subunit ribosomal RNA", at positions 29 to 507 of the family's 1533-position model. The record is from RNAcentral.
AACGAACGCUGGCGGCAUGCCUAACACAUGCAAGUCGAAUGAGACCUUCGGGUCUAGUGGCGCACGGGUGCGUAACGCGUGGAAACCUGCCCUUAGGUUCGGAAUAACUCCCCGAAAGGGGUGCUAAUACCGGAUAAUGUCUUCGGACCAAAGAUUUAUCGCCUUUGGAUGGGCCCGCGUUGGAUUAGCUAGUUGGUAGGGUAAAAGCCUACCAAGGCGACGAUCCAUAGCUGGUCUGAGAGGAUGAUCAGCCACACUGGGACUGAGACACGGCCCAGACUCCUACGGGAGGCAGCAGUGGGGAAUAUUGGACAAUGGGCGAAAGCCUGAUCCAGCAAUGCCGCGUGAGUGAUGAAGGCCUUAGGGUUGUAAAGCUCUUUUACCCGGGAUGAUAAUGACAGUACCGGGAGAAUAAGCUCCGGCUAACUCCGUG